This 21-nucleotide non-coding RNA is filed under the name Caenorhabditis elegans. The record is from RNAcentral. Lineage: Eukaryota; Metazoa; Nematoda; Chromadorea; Rhabditida; Rhabditidae.
UUUAGUGAUCGCACGCAAAUU